CCGAGGGAGGUAUUACCGAGUUACACUCCAAACCCCUGUGAAAUACCACUUGUUGCCUCGGCGGAUCAGCCCGCUCCCGGUAAAACGGGACGGCCCGCCAGAGGACCCCUAAACUCUGUUUCUAUAUGUAACUUCUGAGUAAAACCAUAAAUAAAUCAAAACUUUCAACAACGGAUCUCUUGGUUCUGGCAUCGAUGAAGAACGCAGCAAAAUGCGAUAAGUAAUGUGAAUUGCAGAAUUCAGUGAAUCAUCGAAUCUUUGAACGCACAUUGCGCCCGCCAGUAUUCUGGCGGGCAUGCCUGUUCGAGCGUCAUUUCAACCCUCAAGCACAGCUUGGUGUUGGGACUCGCGUUAAUUCGCGUUCCUCAAAUUGAUUGGCGGUCACGUCGAGCUUCCAUAGCGUAGUAGUAAAACCCUCGUUACUGGUAAUCGUCGCGGCCACGCCGUUAAACCCCAACUUCUGAAUGUUGACCUCGGAUCAGGUAGGAAUACCCGCCUGAACUUAAGCAUAUCAAUAAGCAAGGAAAAAAAAAAAAGUCGUAGGGUAU
This 548-nucleotide ribosomal RNA is filed under the name Colletotrichum dematium. RNAcentral describes it as "eukaryotic LSU rRNA". The stretch from base 160 to 313 matches the Rfam family "5.8S ribosomal RNA". Lineage: Eukaryota; Fungi; Ascomycota; Sordariomycetes; Glomerellales; Glomerellaceae. The record is from RNAcentral.